AACGAACGCUGGCGGCAUGCCUAACACAUGCAAGUCGAACGAGACCUUCGGGUCUAGUGGCGCACGGGUGCGUAACGCGUGGGAACCUGCCCUUAGGUUCGGAAUAACUCCCCGAAAGGGGUGCUAAUACCGGAUAAUGUCUUCGGACCAAAGAUUUAUCGCCUUUGGAUGGGCCCGCGUUGGAUUAGCUAGUUGGUAGGGUAAAAGCCUACCAAGGCGACGAUCCAUAGCUGGUCUGAGGGGAUGAUCAGCCACACUGGGACUGAGACACGGCCCAGACUCCUACGGGAGGCAGCAGUGGGGAAUAUUGGACAAUGGACGAAAGCCUGAUCCAGCAAUGCCGCGUGAGUGAUGAAGGCCUUAGGGUUGUAAAGCUCUUUUACCCGGGAUGAUAAUGACAGUACCGGGAGAAUAAGCUCCGGCUAACUCCGUG
This 433-nucleotide ribosomal RNA is filed under the name uncultured bacterium. RNAcentral's name for it is "partial 16S ribosomal RNA". It matches the Rfam family "Bacterial small subunit ribosomal RNA", at positions 29 to 507 of the family's 1533-position model. The record is from RNAcentral.